RNAcentral lists this ribosomal RNA (305 nucleotides) under uncultured bacterium. RNAcentral's name for it is "bacterial SSU rRNA". It matches the Rfam family "Bacterial small subunit ribosomal RNA", at positions 28 to 316 of the family's 1533-position model. The record is from RNAcentral.
GACGAACGUUGGCGGUGCGCUUUAUACAUGCAAGUCGCACGCGAAAGGCCCCUUCGGGGGCCGGAGUAAAGUGGCGAACGGGUGCGUAACACGUGAGCAACCUGCCCGGAAGUGGGGAAUAACUCCGAGAAAUCGGGGCUAAUACCGCAUGUCGCCUAGGCUCCGCAUGAAGCCAUGGUGAAAGUCGGCCUCUGCUUGCAAGCUGGCGCUUCUGGAUGGGCUCGCGGCCUAUAGCUAGUUGGUGAGGUAAUGGCUCACCAAGGCUACGAUGGGUAGGGGGCGUGAGAGCGUGGCCCCCACAUGGU